AAACGUUAAGUCCCCAUUUAUUCCCCUUUCCCCAUUUUUAUUGCUUUCCUGCUACCAAAAUAACACCAUGCAGAGAGGCAAAAAAGACCUCAAUACGGUUUUCGGGUGAAGUUCCGUUUAUCCAGCCUCGGCAAGGAAGGAGUCCCUAGACACUAAGUCAGACCUGUAACGGUCACCUCGAACUGUUCCCGGUUUGUAAUGGUUCGGUUGCUUGGAUGCAGUAGCAUUUUUUCUUGUACAUUCUUAAACCGGUUGUGUUGAACAGA
Molecule: long non-coding RNA, 266 nt
Filed under: Rattus norvegicus (Norway rat)
Lineage: Eukaryota; Metazoa; Chordata; Mammalia; Rodentia; Muridae
Description: long non-coding RNA NONRATT005827
Source: RNAcentral